This 65-nucleotide transfer RNA is filed under the name Dipodomys ordii (Ord's kangaroo rat). It matches the Rfam family "tRNA". From Rfam's summary of the family: Transfer RNA (tRNA) molecules are approximately 80 nucleotides in length. Their secondary structure includes four short double-helical elements and three loops (D, anti-codon, and T loops). Further hydrogen bonds mediate the characteristic L-shaped molecular structure. tRNAs have two regions of fundamental functional importance: the anti-codon, which is responsible for specific mRNA codon recognition, and the 3' end, to which the tRNAs corresponding amino acid is attached (by aminoacyl-tRNA synthetases). tRNAs cope with the degeneracy of the genetic code in two manners: having more than one tRNA (with a specific anti-codon) for a particular amino acid; and 'wobble' base-pairing, i.e. permitting non-standard base-pairing at the 3rd anti-codon position. The record is from Rfam by way of RNAcentral. Lineage: Eukaryota; Metazoa; Chordata; Mammalia; Rodentia; Heteromyidae.
GGUAGUUCAGUGGUAGAGUACUUGCCUUGCAUGCAUGAGGCCCUGGGUUCGAUUCCUCAGUACCA